GAUGAGCGCUGGCUACAGGCUUAACACAUGCAAGUCGAGGGGAAACGACGGGGAAGCUUGCUUCCCCGGGCGUCGACCGGCGCACGGGUGAGUAACGCGUAUCCAACCUGCCUCUGACUGAGGGAUAACCCGUCGAAAGUCGGCCUAAUACCUCAUGGCAUCGUCUGCGGGCAUCCAACGACGAUUAAAGAUUUCAUCGGUCAGAGAUGGGGAUGCGUCUGAUUAGCUUGUUGGCGGGGUAACGGCCCACCAAGGCGACGAUCAGUAGGGGUUCUGAGAGGAAGGUCCCCCACAUUGGAACUGAGACACGGUCCAAACUCCUACGGGAGGCAGCAGUGAGGAAUAUUGGUCAAUGGGCGAGAGCCUGAACCAGCCAAGUAGCGUGCAGGAUGACGGCCCUAUGGGUUGUAAACUGCUUUUAGGCGGGGAUAAAGUGAGGGACGUGUCCUUCAUUGCAGGUACCGCAUGAAUAAGGACCGGCUAAUUCCGUG
Molecule: ribosomal RNA, 491 nt
Filed under: uncultured bacterium
Lineage: Bacteria
Description: partial 16S ribosomal RNA
Rfam family: Bacterial small subunit ribosomal RNA
Source: RNAcentral